Molecule: ribosomal RNA, 849 nt
Filed under: uncultured beta proteobacterium
Lineage: Bacteria; Pseudomonadati; Pseudomonadota; Betaproteobacteria
Description: bacterial SSU rRNA
Rfam family: Bacterial small subunit ribosomal RNA
Source: RNAcentral
CGCUGGCGGGAUGCUUUACACAUGCAAGUCGAACGGCAGCAUGGAGAGCUUGCUCUCUGAUGGCGAGUGGCGAACGGGUGAGUAAUAUAUCGGAACGUGCCCAGUAAUGGGGAAUAACUAAUUGAAAGAUUAGCUAAUACCGCAUACGACCUACGGGUGAAAGCAGGGGAUCUUCGGACCUUGCGUUAUUGGAGCGGCCGAUAUCUGAUUAGCUAGUUGGUAGGGUAAAAGCCUACCAAGGCGACGAUCAGUAGCUGGUCUGAGAGGACGAUCAGCCACACUGGAACUGAGACACGGUCCAGACUCCUACGGGAGGCAGCAGUGGGGAAUUUUGGACAAUGGGGGAAACCCUGAUCCAGCCAUCCCGCGUGAGCGAAGAAGGCCUUCGGGUUGUAAAGCUCUUUCGGAAGUGAAGAAAACUUAUUUCGUAAUAUGUUAUAAGAAUGACGGUAACUUUAGAAGAAGCACCGGCUAACUACGUGCCAGCAGCCGCGGUAAUACGUAGGGUGCGAGCGUUAAUCGGAAUUACUGGGCGUAAAGCGUGCGCAGGCGGUUUUGUAAGUCAGAUGUGAAAUCCCCGAGCUUAACUUGGGAACUGCGUUUGAAACUACAAGACUAGAGUGUGUCAGAGGGGGGUAGAAUUCCACGUGUAGCAGUGAAAUGCGUAGAGAUGUGGAGGAAUAUCAAUGGCGAAGGCAGCCCCCUGGGAUAACACUGACGCUCAUGCACGAAAGCGUGGGGAGCGAACAGGAUUAGAUACCCUGGUAGUCCACGCCCUAAACGAUGUCAACUAGUUGUUGGUGGAGUAAGAUCCAUGAGUAACGUAGCUAACGCGUGAAGUUGACCGCC